UACGAACCGUACAAACGUUAUUCGGAAUCACUGGGCUUAAAGGGUGCGUAGGCGGCCAUGUAAGUGAGGUGUGAAAUCCCUCGGCUCAACCGAGGAACUGCGCUUCAUACUGCAUGGCUUGAGGGAGACAGGGGUAAGCGGAACUGAUGGUGGAGCGGUGAAAUGCGGUGAUAUCAUCAGGAACACCGGUGGCGAAAGCGGCUUACUGGGUCUCUUCUGACGCUGAGGUACGAAAGCUAGGGGAGCGAACGGG
This 253-nucleotide ribosomal RNA is filed under the name uncultured bacterium. Its description in RNAcentral is "partial 16S ribosomal RNA". It matches the Rfam family "Bacterial small subunit ribosomal RNA", at positions 524 to 776 of the family's 1533-position model. The record is from RNAcentral.